RNAcentral lists this long non-coding RNA (1681 nucleotides) under Monodelphis domestica (gray short-tailed opossum). RNAcentral describes it as "lncRNA (ENSMODG00000045354.1)". Lineage: Eukaryota; Metazoa; Chordata; Mammalia; Didelphimorphia; Didelphidae. The record is from RNAcentral.
GGUUUGUCUUCCUCUCCUGUCUAUCUAUACAUGAAAACAGAGGUGAAAAAUUAAAAUGAUUUUCCUGAUCAUUCAGGCUAAAAAUAUACCUUUAUCUCAAUAAUCUGAAUAUUUCAGGUGAAAGACAUUGAGUCCAAUUUACCCAGGUACUUAAUUGCCUCAAUUCCCUCCCCCCUUUCCUUUUAUGUUUAUAGAUCCACACAAACUGCUUGAAGGUAUUUUGUUAGGAAAUAUUUUUCUUUCCUAGAUAACAGCAGAGCCUCAGACCAUAGAGUUUAAACUGUAGAAUCCCUCUUUGAAUUAUUGUUUUAUUUUCUUUGAGGAUUUCUCUGGCUCUUUCUAUAAGGGAUAUCACAGAGCUUAAAAGCCCCAAACUACCCCCUCCCCAAUUAUUUAUCCUGGAGAAUUUACCUAGCCAGUUGAACAGUGAAGUCAAUUCUUGACUAGUUUUUUAAUUCUCUAUUUUUGAUUUGGAACAAAUUGAAGUACAUUUUCAUGUUAGUGAAAAGCAAUAAAUGGAAAGAAUCCAGGUCAGCAGAGGGAGAAUUUCAGGAAGUUCUGCCUGGAUCAUGGCUACUGUUAUGCUCGGCUAUUUGAGAUCAAUUCAUUUGUUUCAGCUGUCGACAAAAGUCAAUCUCAGCACAACCAGUCAAAAGCCCUGAAUUGAUUGGUUUUUAUUGCCCGGCGUUUUUCAUUAUAUAAAUAUCACAUCUCAUGCCCCUUUCCCACAGAUGCCCAUAGUAUAGAGGAACGAUAAGCAAAUUUCAUGAACUAGGUUCCUGUUUAUGCUUUUAUGGUCAAGGCUAAAUAAACAUUUAUCCUAAAAUCUUCUAUUUGUGGAUCUUGGAGAUGACGACAGGACCUGAAAAGAUGAUCUGGUUUAACUGCUUGCCUUCCCACAGACUGGUGAUUCACACUGGACGUCUGGAGGCAGGGAUGGCAUUCAAGCAGGUUGGAGGGAGCAGUUUUGAAGCAAGGACAAACAAGGAGAAAUGUCACCUCCUCAUCCACCACACAGUCAUGGGGCCAGUUGGCCACCCACAUGUUCAUCUGGGCAUCCUUUUUCUGGUCUCUCAGACUGAUGUCAACCUUGCAUUUGCCCUUCCAGGGGGCUUUCUUUCCCAGACUCAUUUUGGACCAUAGGUUCUAGCAAAAUAAUACAGCUCUCAGACCCAUUACAGUCCUACCCCACCAGGAAUACCUCCCCAAGUUGCCAAGGUUACAGCUUCAGACUUUUCUAAUUGGUUACUCUGAAGAGCUCCUGGUACCUCUGAGCAUCAGCAUCCUGAACCUGUCUUCUUGAAGAUGUUGUGAGGGUCCCGGUGAUGCUGAAACUUGAGGGAAUCAUGUUCUACCAGUAUCUUAGAGGAAUUGAACUUACAGGGAAAUCAAGUAGUGUGCUGGGGAUGUAAGUAGGCAACAGUGAAGACUUUGGUGUAUGAUAUGACAUAAAGGAGAUCUUCCAGGACACAUGCUGGAAAAGGAGGGGGGGCAGUCCCCUUUCCCAGACUCUCAUAAUUCUAGUUCCACUCUUCUCUUAAUUCUAUUUAUUCUGUAUGUAGCUUAUUCAUAUGUAUAUAUUUGUGAGCUCCAUGAGGAUAUUUAUAUCUCCAUAGUUUAGCACAGUGACUGGCACAUAGAAAAAUGUAAUAAAUACUGACUGAUUGUGUGUUUAUAUACA